ACCCGGGUGCUGGAAUUGGUAGACAGGCAUGGUUGAGGGCCAUGUGUCCUCAGGACGUGUGGGUUCAAGUCCCAUCCCGGGUACAA
RNAcentral lists this transfer RNA (86 nucleotides) under Aequorivita soesokkakensis. Its description in RNAcentral is "tRNA-Leu". It matches the Rfam family "tRNA". Rfam says of the family: Transfer RNA (tRNA) molecules are approximately 80 nucleotides in length. Their secondary structure includes four short double-helical elements and three loops (D, anti-codon, and T loops). Lineage: Bacteria; Pseudomonadati; Bacteroidota; Flavobacteriia; Flavobacteriales; Flavobacteriaceae. The record is from RNAcentral.